GCUCAAAAUCUAGCCCCACCCACACCAUAAACCCCUUCACUCACCCGAUUAAUUAAAACAUUUUUAAAGUUAAGUAAAGGAGAUUAAAAAACUCAAUGGAGCAACAAAAAUUGUACCGCAAGGGAAAGAUGAAAUAGAAAUGAAACAAAACUCAAGCACAAAAAAGUAGAGAUUCCCCUCGUACCUUUUGCAUCAUGGUUUAACUAGUCUAAUCAAGCAAAAAGCACUUUAGUUUGACCCCCCGAAACUAAGCGAGCUACUUCAGGGCAGCUUUAUGAGCAAACCCGUCUCUGUUGCAAAAGAGUGGGAAGACCCUCAAGUAGGGGUGAUAGACCUAACGAGCUUAGUGAUAGCUGGUUUCUCAAGAAAAGGAUUUUAGUCCAACCUAAAGCUCCCCACAUCUACAAAAAUACUCUUUUACAGCUUUAGAGCAAUUCAAAUAAGGUACAGCCUGUUUGAAAUAGGAUACAACCUCAACUGGCGGGUAACAACCCCUAAUUACAGCCAAGUGGGCCUAAAAGCAGCCACCUUUAUAAUAGCGUUAAAGCUUACCUGUACUUCCCAACUAAUCCCUUAAAUCUCCUUCAACCCCCUAUUAGUAUUGAGUAAUUCUAUUCACUUAUAGAACCUAUAAUGUUAGAACUAGUAACAAGAAGUUAACCUUCUCCUUAAUGUAAGUGUAAGCCAGGAAGGACCGCCCACUGGUAAUUAACGCCUAUGAAACCACAUUAGUAACUCCACAAGAAAACCCUAAUGCCCCCUGACGUUGAUCUAACACAAGAGCAUUUCAAGAAAGAUUUAAAGAAAAAGAAGGAACUCGGCAAACCACUAACCCCGCCUGUUUACCAAAAACAUCGCCUCUUGCAUAAGAUAAGAGGUCCAGCCUGCCCAGUGACCCCUCCAGUUUAACGGCCGCGGUAUCCUAACCGUGCGAAGGUAGCGUAAUCAUUUGUUCUUUAAAUCAGGACCAGUAUGAAUGGCAUCACGAGGGUUACACUGUCUCCUUUUUCUAAUCAGUGAAACUAAUCUCCCCGUGAAGAAGCGAGGAUGAAGUUAUAAGACGAGAAGACCCUAUGGAGCUUCAAAUUUUUAUUUCAACUGCUGCACCCAUACUAAAGUCCCGACUUCUCAUAACUAACUCAGCACCAUGAAAUUAAAUUUUAGGUUGGGGUGACCGCGGAGAAUAAAAGAACCUCCACAUUGAACUAGGCCUAUAGCCUUGAGCCAAGAGCUACGACUCCACGCACUAAAACAUUAACAUCCAUUGACCCAAUUACUUGAUCAACGAACCAAGUUACCCUAGGGAUAACAGCGCAAUCUACUUUAAGAGCCCCUAUCGACAAGUGGGUUUACGACCUCGAUGUUGGAUCAGGGUAUCCCAGUGGUGCAGCCGCUACUAAAGGUUCGUUUGUUCAACGAUUAAAACCCU
This 1429-nucleotide ribosomal RNA is filed under the name Scinax arduous. Its description in RNAcentral is "partial 16S large subunit ribosomal RNA". It matches the Rfam family "Bacterial large subunit ribosomal RNA", at positions 133 to 2597 of the family's 2925-position model. The record is from RNAcentral. Lineage: Eukaryota; Metazoa; Chordata; Amphibia; Anura; Hylidae.